AUGUCCAUCAAAUGAAACCAUACAGCUCCUUAUCAAAAUGCUAUUUUAUAAGCUAUUUCUUCCUAGUCCCAUAUAAAUUAAAUGAACAUUUCUGGUAUCACCUUGUCACACACUACAUUUAAGAAUUUUUAAAUGCUAGCACUAACAUAGCAAAGUUAACAGGUUUCACAUUCCAUAACAAUGUUCUGAUUUGGGCAAAAAUUUUGUUAUCUGUGAUAAUAAUCAAAAAAGCAACAGGAGACCAGGAACAAUAAAGAGCUUGUUUAUUUAGCAUUUGCAAAGGCCAGGACCCCUUCUCCCUAAAAUGGAGAUCCCUCCCCAAAAUCAUGUUGGAGACUUUUAUAUACUUCUGCACACAAGAUUCUGUUAACAUCACCUUAUCCUGUUUCCCUGGGUAAUUCCCUGGGUCUACUGGGUAAUUUUCCAGUAACCACCACCCACUCACCUAUCUCAUUUCCAGACAACUCCAGUUCUUAUGGCGUAUCCUAUAUUCUGUUUGGCAGAUUGUCUAUUCUAGGAUACUAGUGUUAACAUCAGCAUUUCUUCAUUUUAGCAUACAAUAACACAUUAAACAUGUUUCAGAGUACAAAACAACCUUGUUUUUGUGAUGAAUAUAACAUUUAUAUAAUCAUUACUUAACAUUCCAAUAAUAUUCCAGGAAUAUUGCCAUAGGUCAUUGCUAGAAUAAAUAUGGCGUUAUUAUUUAGGUUUCUCAUUUUCCCAGGUAUAAUCCUUAAUAUGUAAUUUUACAUAUCACAUCCUAUUUAUUUAUUUAUUUGUUUGUUUGUUUAAAAUUUAUAUUUAUAUAGCCACCCAAACAGUAUAUCAAUUUUUAGUAUACAAACAUUAGGUAAGAAUACAAUGGUGAUAUCCAUAAGAUCUCUCCCAACCAGGGAGAGUACCAACCAGUGCUGAAUUUGUGGUUUUAUAUAGUAUUUAUCACAAGUCAGAGCAUAUCUGAUGUCACAAGAGAUUUCCUGUGUCCAAAUAACAACAGCUUUUGCAAUUCUGUAUAACACUGAAGAAAACUAUAAUUUAGACAGAGUUUAAUGGCAAAUCAUAACAAUUUUUUUGCAACAAGUGUUAACCUAUUCAUAAGGGAGUAUCUCAUCCAAAAACUUAAUUCAACAAUUUGUUUAGCUAUGAUAUCUGCAAUUCAUCAUUCUUCCUUUCCGUCUAUGCCUUGUCAUAUGAUAAGCUUCGGGUUCAAUUUUGCUAGCUACGAUCUGUAUCUUGUCCCAAAAUUUGGAUUAGCUUUUUAUUGGAGAAGUGAGCCUUCUCUAUCGUAACAAACACUUUGAUACCACCCACAAAAUAUUUUAUAUUGUUAUGCUUGAUUCUGGAUGAAGAAGCUAAAUACUACAAGUAAUCCUUUACUUACUAUCAGUUACUUAGCAACCAUUCAAAAUUACAAUGGACAUUCUCAAAAGCUACUUACAACCUAUUUUCAAAUUUAUGGCCACUGCAGAGUCCCUGCAGCCAAUCACCCUUACAACGGAACGAUUGACUGCAGGGAUGCUAUAGAAGCCUCCCCUGCUAAUCUUCUCUCCUAUUCUGCCCUGCCAGGUCUCCACAGGCUUUCAGCCUGCUCCCAAUGGAUGAAACUAGUCACUUGAGAGAGCCUCAAGUCAGCUCCAGAGACUACCAGUGUACAUUUGCCUGUUGAGAGUCAGUUUGGUCUAGUGGCUAAGACCCUAGGUCAGUAAGACUAUAAAUUAAAGUCCCACCUUAGUCAUGAAAGCUAGCUGGGUGACUUUGAGCCAGUUACUCUCUUUCACCUCCUGGAUCGUUAUUGUAGGUAAAAGAGAAGGAUCCAAUCUGGGUCGGUUACCGGGAUCAGAAGUUUAGUCUUCCAAGCUUUUGGACUUGUGAUGGAGCCCAUCCUCAUGGAACUUCUCUCUCACCAGAAUGUGGCAAUACAAAUAUGGUCCCGGUUACUGACCCAGAUUGGAUCCUGCAACAUUAUUCUGGGACACAUAUUUGUAUUCGUAAAAGAGGAGGAGAAAGGCAUGCUGGGUAUUUUCAUGAUCUUCAAUUAUUUGUAAAAAUAAAAGUGGAUACAAAUAAAUAUAUUUGUUUAAAAAGCAGGCACUUAACCACUCAAGAGAACCUCAAACUGGAUGCAGAGGCUACUGGCAUAUAUGUGAGGCUGCUGUAGCUUGCAGGCCUCAGCCUGCUCCCAACCCAGCCACUCAGACAGCUCCAGGGACCAUCCGCAUCUACAUCUAACUUAUCUUUCUGUUUUUCUGCUGGUUUCAACAGCCAGUGAAAGGCUUUAUUUUUAAGCAGACUCCAUUUUAAGGAGAUUCAGUCCUUAAAACAGAAGCUUUCAAAAGAUCUUGAGAAUAGCACCUGCUUGCUGAACAGCAUGAGGCUGAAACCUUGGGAGGACUGGGGCAGGCAGGCAGGACCAGGCCUUUCUAGUCCUCCAAAGGCCUCCCCCACCUGGGGCACACUGUGCUCUGCUUAAUGACUGAAUUGGGAUCAUUAAGAGCAGGAGUGGGGAUCAUUAAGCUAGGCGGUCAUAUGGGCACCUUGCUUAACAACCAUUACAACUUACAGGCUCAAUUAUGAUUAUAAUUCAAGGACUACCAAUAUGAUUAUUGAUAUUUUAAACCAUAAUUAAGAUUGAUAUUUCUUAUAUUGAAUCUUCAAGGGCUUAAACUAUUUACACAUUACAGUGCUAAUCAUUUUCAAUCAGCCUCCUAUAUAUUUACACAAAUUCGUCCAAACCUCGCAUUAUUUUGGUGUUAGGACUACUACAAAUUCAAUUUGAUUUAGAUUCCUGCUUCACUUAAAUGAAGUCCUUUCUCCCACCCCACCCACUUAACUUGCCUGUUCACUUUCUAAUUAUCCAGCUCUCUGUUAUAAGGACCAAAAUUGGCUCUAGAUUCUGCCUCAGCAUAUUUUUUCCAAUUAGUUAUCUAAGUGGAAGAUCAUUUAUUUUAAUUGCUCUAGCAAAAAGGUUUCUCUGUAUAAAAAGAGGGAAUCUGUGACAAAGACUCAAAUUUCCCUUUGUAUUCAGUACAGCAG
This is a non-coding RNA of Pseudonaja textilis, 3033 nucleotides long. Lineage: Eukaryota; Metazoa; Chordata; Lepidosauria; Squamata; Elapidae. The record is from RefSeq and is a predicted model, not a curated record.